RNAcentral lists this ribosomal RNA (2283 nucleotides) under Triticum aestivum (bread wheat). RNAcentral's name for it is "partial small subunit ribosomal RNA". Lineage: Eukaryota; Viridiplantae; Streptophyta; Magnoliopsida; Poales; Poaceae. The record is from RNAcentral.
AUGUGGCGGCUGAAGAUCGCGGAGGGCGGGGCCGACCCGUGGCUGCGCACCAAGAACGCGCACGUCGGCCGCCAGGUCUGGGAGUUCGACGCCGCCGCCGACGACCCCGACGCCCUCGCCGCCGUCGACGCCGCGCGCCGGGAGUUCGCCGCCCGCCGCCACCAGCUCAAGCACAGCGCCGACCUCCCCAUGCGCAUCCAGCUUGCAAAAGAAAAUCCACUUAAGUUGGAUCUUCCUGCUAUCAAGCUGGGGGAGAAUGAAGAUGUCACAGAGGAAGCCGUGUCGACCACUUUGAAAAGGGCGCUCAGCACCUUUUCUACUCUCCAGGCACACGAUGGACACUGGCCUGGGGAUUAUGGGGGUCCUAUGUUCCUUAUGCCUGGAUUGCUUAUAAUGCUACAUGUUACUGGAGCAAUGAACACUGUUUUAUCACCAGAACAUCAAAAGGAGAUCCGUCGAUAUCUCUAUAAUCAUCAGAAUGAAGAUGGAGGUUGGGGAUUACACAUUGAGGGUCCAAGCACCAUGUUUGGCUCAGCCUUGACCUAUGUUUCUUUGAGAUUGCUUGGUGAGGGACCAGAUAGUGGAGAUGGAGCUAUGGAGAAAGGUCGAAACUGGAUUUUAGACCAUGGGGGAGCAACUUAUAUAACAUCAUGGGGAAAGUUUUGGCUCGCGGUACUUGGUGUAUUUGAUUGGUCUGGUAACAAUCCACUGCCACCGGAAAUAUGGAUGUUGCCGUAUUGCCUGCCAGUCCACCCAGGUCGAAUGUGGUGUCACUGCCGAAUGGUGUAUCUACCCAUGUGCUACGUUUAUGGAAAGAGGUUUGUCGGCCGAAUUACACCAAUUAUAUUGGAACUAAGAAAUGAACUAUUCAAAGUCCCCUACAGCGAGGUUGAUUGGGACAGUGCUCGCAAUCUCUGUGCUAAGGAAGAUCUGUACUACCCACAUCCACUCAUACAAGAUAUCUUAUGGGCCACUCUCCAUAAAUUUGUCGAACCUGUUAUGAUGCACUGGCCUGGGAACAAACUGAGAGAGAAAUCUUUGAACCAUGUCAUGCAGCAUGUUCAUUAUGAAGAUGAGAACACUCGAUACAUUUGCAUUGGUCCUGUGAACAAGGUAUUAAAUAUGCUUGCUUGCUGGAUUGAAGAUCCAAACUCAGAAGCAUUCAAGCUACACAUUCCAAGAAUAUAUGAUUACUUAUGGGUUGCUGAAGAUGGCAUGAAGAUGCAGGGUUAUAAUGGCAGCCAGCUCUGGGAUACAGCUUUUGCAGUUCAAGCUAUUGCAGCCACUGACCUCAUUGAAGAGUUUGCUCCCACUCUUAAGCUGGCACAUGAUUACAUUAAGAACUCUCAGGUUGUUGAUGACUGCCCUGGAGAUCUGAGUUACUGGUACCGUCACAUAUCUAAAGGUGCAUGGCCCUUUUCUACAGCUGAUCAUGGUUGGCCUAUAUCAGAUUGCACUGCAGAAGGACUAAAGGCCUCAUUAUUGCUAUCAAAGAUUUCUCCAGAAAUUGUGGGCGAACCAGUGGAAGUUAACAGACUAUAUGAUGCUGUCAAUUGUUUGAUGUCUUGGAUGAAUGAAAAUGGCGGCUUCGCAACAUAUGAACUCCAAAGGUCUUAUGCCUGGCUUGAGCUUAUCAACCCUGCCGAGACCUUCGGAGAUAUUGUGAUUGAUUACCCGUAUGUGGAAUGUACAUCAGCCGCAAUUCAGGCCCUGACAUCAUUUAAAAAGCUCUAUCCUGGGCACCGCAGGAAAGAUGUAGAUAACUGUAUCAACAAAGCUGCUAAUUACAUUGAGAACAUCCAAAGAAGUGAUGGGUCAUGGUAUGGCUCUUGGGCUGUGUGCUUCACCUAUGGCACAUGGUUCGGCGUGAAGGGCCUAGUAGCUGCAGGUCGAACAUAUAAGACCAGUCCUGCAAUCAGAAAGGCAUGUGACUUUCUGUUGUCAAAAGAGCUUCCUUUCGGUGGCUGGGGAGAAAGCUAUCUGUCAUCUCAGGAUCAGGUUUACACCAAUCUUGAAGGGAAGCAUACUCAUGCUGUCAACACUGGCUGGGCCAUGCUGACUCUAAUUGAUGCAGGACAGGCUGAGAGAGAUCCAACGCCUCUGCAUCGAGCAGCGAAGGUUUUGGUAAACUUACAAUCAGAGGAUGGGGAAUUUCCUCAGCAAGAGAUCAUGGGAGUCUUCAACAAGAACUGUAUGAUCAGUUACUCCCAGUACAGGAACAUCUUCCCCAUUUGGGCGCUAGGCGAGUACCGGUGCCGAGUGCUGGGCGCGGGCAAGAAGUAG